This is a long non-coding RNA of Suricata suricatta (meerkat), 484 nucleotides long. RefSeq lists it as uncharacterized. NCBI's taxonomy places the organism in Eukaryota, Metazoa, Chordata, Mammalia, Carnivora, Herpestidae. The transcript has 3 exons. The record is from RefSeq and is a predicted model, not a curated record.
GUGGCAUGCUGGUUUGGCGCUUGGUUUUCUGCCCCCUGCUCCUGAACGUUACACAAGCCCUGCUUGUCUUACCCCCACAACAGGCCCACCAGAACUGUGGCCAGACAAAGGACGUCGCCCACCACCACCGCUCCGGACAGCUCCGGGGAGAUGGCCUGCAGGACGGGCAACGGAACGAAGUCGGACAGGCCCACGUGCUCCGUGUCCCGCACGCUGAGCAGCGUCAGGCCCACGCUGACGGUGCGGAUGACGCAGGCUACAGGGAGGAAUCACCGGGAUGUCAUGUAGAAAGGCCUGUACACCGCAGAUGCAGUGAAUGUCACCCUCGCUCCUCACUGGCACUGGAGCACUGGAAGGUGUGUGCCUUGCUCUGACCAACUUCUACAAAGUCUGUGAUCAGUGACUGGCAUCCCCCAUCACAUGGCCAGCACAAUGGCCAGGUUGCUUAUAUCCCCCCUGCAGCCUGGCUUUCACGAGUAUAAGA